This 327-nucleotide ribosomal RNA is filed under the name uncultured eukaryote. RNAcentral's name for it is "partial 18S ribosomal RNA". It matches the Rfam family "Eukaryotic small subunit ribosomal RNA", at positions 1470 to 1796 of the family's 1831-position model. The record is from RNAcentral.
CCCUUAGAUGUUCUGGGCCGCACGCGCGCUACACUGACGAAUGCAACGAGCUUAUAACCUUGGCCGAAAGGUCUGGGUAAUCUCCAAAUUUCGUCGUGAUGGGGAUAGAUUAUUGCAAUUAUUAAUCUUCAACGAGGAAUGCCUAGUAAGCGCAAGUCAUCAGCUUGCGUUGAUUACGUCCCUGCCCUUUGUACACCCCGCCCGUCGCUCCUACCGAUUGAAUGGUCCGGUGAAGCGUUCGGACCGUGGCCUUUGGACGGUUCGCCGUCUGUUGGCUGCGGGAAGUUCGUUAAACCUUAUCAUUUAGAGGAAGGAGAANUCGUAACA